RNAcentral lists this ribosomal RNA (428 nucleotides) under uncultured microorganism. Its description in RNAcentral is "bacterial SSU rRNA". It matches the Rfam family "Bacterial small subunit ribosomal RNA", at positions 9 to 483 of the family's 1533-position model. The record is from RNAcentral.
GAGUUUGAUCUUGGCUCAGAACGAACGCUGGCGGCAUGCCUAACACAUGCAAGUCGAACGAAGUCUUCGGACUUAGUGGCGCACGGGUGCGUAACGCGUGGGAAUCUGCCCUUGGGUACGGAAUAACUCAGAGAAAUUUGUGCUAAUACCGUAUAAUGUCUUCGGACCAAAGAUUUAUCGCCCAAGGAUGAGCCCGCGUAAGAUUAGCUAGUUGGUGAGGUAAGAGCUCACCAAGGCGACGAUCUUUAGCUGGUCUGAGAGGAUGAUCAGCCACACUGGGACUGAGACACGGCCCAGACUCCUACGGGAGGCCAGCAGUGGGGAAUAUUGGACAAUGGGUGAAAGCCUGAUCCAGCAAUGCCGCGUGAGUGAUGAAGGCCUUAGGGUUGUAAAGCUCUUUUACCCGGAUGAUAAUGACAGUACCGGAG